RNA transcript from Nycticebus coucang (slow loris), 2132 nucleotides. It is a transcript of the gene named heterogeneous nuclear ribonucleoprotein M-like, with no coding region annotated. Lineage: Eukaryota; Metazoa; Chordata; Mammalia; Primates; Lorisidae. The transcript has 3 exons. The record is from RefSeq and is a predicted model, not a curated record.
AUGGUGGCAGGGGUCGAAGCGGCAGCUGAGGUGGCGGCAAUGGAGAUCAAAAUGCAGGAAGAAAGCAGUGCGCCCAUAGUGCCGAGCGGCAAUGGGGCUCCAGGCCCUAAGGGUGAAGGAGUACGACCUCCUCAGAACGAAAAGAGGAAGGAGAAAAACAUAAAAAGAGGAGGCAAUUGCUUUGUGCCAUAUGCCAAUCCAACUAAAAGGUACAGAGCCUUCAUUACAAACGUACCUUUUGAUGUGAAAUGGCAGUCAGUUAAAGACCUGGUUAAAGAAAAAGUUGGUGAGGUUACAUACGUGGAGCUCUUAAUGGAUGCUGAAGGAAAAUCAAGGGGAUGUGCUAUUGUUGAAUUCAAGACAGAAGAGAGCAUGAAAAAAGUGCAGAAGUCCUAAACAAGCAAAGUCUGAGUGGAAGACCCCUGAAAGUCAAAGAAGAUCCUGAUGGGGAACAUGCCAGGAGAGCAAUGCAAAAGCUGGAUUAUACAGUUGGCUUGAAGAAACUGAAGGAAGUUUUUAGUAUGGCUAGUGUGGUGGUCCGGGCAGACAUUCUUGAGGAUAAAGAUGGAAAAAGUCAUGGAAUAGGCACUGUUACAUUUGAACAGUCCAUCGAAGCUGUGCAAGCUAUAUCUAUGUUCAAUGGCCAAGUGAACAUAGACCAAUGCAUGUCAAAAUGGAUGAGAGGGCCUUACCAAAGGGAGAUUUUUUUCCCUCCUGAGCGUCCACAACAACUUCCUCACGGCCUUGGUGGCAUUGGCAUGGGGUUAGGACUAGGAGGGCAGCCUAUCGAUGCCAAUCACCUGAAUAAAGGCAUUGGCAUGGGAAUCUUAGGACCUGCAGGAAUGGGAAGGGAAGGCAUAGGAUUUGGAAUAAAUAAAAUGGGGGGCAUGGAAGGACCUUUUGGCAGUGGUAUGGAAAACACGGGUUGUUUUGGAUCUGGAAUGAAUAUGGGCAGAAUAAAUGAGAUGAAACGAAUGGAAAUCCUAAGUAAUGCACUGAAGAUUGGAGAGAUCAUUGCAAAGCAGGGAGGUGGAAGUAGAGGCAGUGUCCCUGGAAUCGAGAGGCUGGGCCCUGGCAUUGACCGCAUUGAUGGUGCUGGAGCACAGGGGUGCAGGCCUGGGCCAUGGCAUGGAUCGCGUGGGCUCUGAGAUUGAGCACAUGGGCCUAGUCAUGGACUGCAUGGGCUCCGGCAUAGAGUGUAUGCGCCUGCUGGGCCUCGACCACGUGGCCUCUAGCAUCGAGCGUAUGGGCCAGACCAUGGAGCGCAUUGGUUCUGCCAUGGAGCUUAUGGGCGCCGUCAUGGGCUUUGGCCUUGAGCGCAUGGCCACUCCCAUUGACCUUGUGGGCCAAACCAUUGAGCACAUGGGCUUGAGCAUGGAGUGCAUGGUGCCUGCGGGCAUGGCCAUCGGCCUAGAGCACAUGGGCGCCAACAGUCUGGAGUGCAUGGGCCCCGCCAUGGGCCCAGCCUUGGGCGCUGGCAUUGAGCGCAUGGGCCUGGCCAUGGGUGGCGGUGACGGUGCCAGCUUUGACCGUGCCACCAAGAUAGAACGUGGCAACUUUGGUGGAAGCUUCACAGGUUCCUUUCGUGGCACUGGAGGCCGUGCUCCUGGGGCAGCCAGGAAGGCCUGCCAGAUAUUUGUGAGAAUUCUCCCAUUUGAUUUUACAUCGAAGAUGCUAAAGGACAAAUUCAACGAAUGUGGCCACGUGCUGUAUGCUGACAUCAAGAUGGAGAACAGGAAGUCCAAGGGGUGCAGUGUGGUUAAGUUUGAAUCUCCAGAGGUGGCUGAGAGGGCCUGCCGGAUGAUGAAUGGCAUGAAGCUGAGUGGCCGAGAGAUUGAUGUCCGAAUUGAUAGAAACGCAUAAGCAGUUGCCUUUUUUAAACAUCGGUACCAGACCUCUGAAUUUGUAUUUUUUCUUGUUAACCAUUUUAAUUUGUUGGCUGGAUGUAUAAAGAUGUUUAAAAAAUUUAGUUGCUUUUGGGUUAAUUUGAAUUACUUUUUUAAUGACUGGGGUUCCAUUUGACUGUUUGCAUUGAGAUUGCAAUGUGCGCAAUUUUUUUUUUGUAGUUGUGGCAUCUUGUUGACAUCAAAUAUGACUUUGAUAAUAAAUACCAGUUCCUGAAAAAAAAAAAA